CAGAGGUGGCAGCACACACCUGUACUUCCAGGAGUCGGGAGGCUGAGGCAGGAGAAUCGCUGAGAGUUCAAGGGCAGCCGGGGCUACAUAGUGAGUUCAAGGCCACCCUGAGACCCAGUCUCAAAAAGACCAAGACAAACAAACAAACAAAACCAAAGAUUCUGGGUGGAAUGACGAUGAAUAAAGGAAAGGAGUCAGCCCGUGAAAGAUCUGGGAGAAUCUUGGCCCACAGGUUUAAAACAAAAAUGAAGUCAUUAAGUACUGUUUGGAAAGCACCUGCCUAUGUAUAAAAGAUACAGUCUUUGGGAAAGCAAGAUCACAAAGCUAAAAAACAGAAGGUAUUUAAUUAAUGACUUAAAAUUGGAAAAAUAUAACAAAGUUGCAUAUAUUUAUAGGAGUUUUUUU
RNAcentral lists this long non-coding RNA (405 nucleotides) under Chinchilla lanigera (long-tailed chinchilla). Its description in RNAcentral is "lncRNA (ENSCLAG00000025485.1)". The record is from RNAcentral. Lineage: Eukaryota; Metazoa; Chordata; Mammalia; Rodentia; Chinchillidae.